This 468-nucleotide ribosomal RNA is filed under the name uncultured bacterium. RNAcentral describes it as "partial 16S ribosomal RNA". It matches the Rfam family "Bacterial small subunit ribosomal RNA", at positions 28 to 507 of the family's 1533-position model. The record is from RNAcentral.
GACGAACGCUGGCGGCGUGCUUAACACAUGCCAGUCGAACGGAAAGGCCCUGCUUUUGUUGGGUGCUCGAGUGUCGAACGGGUGAGUAACACGUGAGUAACCUGCCCUUGACUUUGGGAUAACUUCAGGAAACUGGGUCUCAUACCGGAUAUGACCUCCUGCUGCAUGGUGGGUGUUGGAAAGUUUCGGCGUUUGGGGAUGGACUCGCGGCUUAUCAGCUUGUUGGUGGGGUAGUGGCUUACCAAGGCUUUGACGGGUAGCCGGCCUGAGAGGGUGACCGGCCACAUUGGGACUGAGAUACGGCCCAGACUCAUACGGGAGGAAGCAGGGGGGAAUAUUGCACAAUGGGCGGAAGCAGGAUGCAGCAACGCCGCGUGCGGGAUGACGGCCUUCGGGUUGUAAACCGCUUUCGCCUGUGACGAAGCGUGAGUGACGGUAAUGUGUAAAGAAGCACCGGCUAACUACGUG